CACCACGGAGUGAUUCAUGACUGGGGUGAAGUCGUAACAAGGUAGCCCUAGGGGAACCUGGGGCUGGAUCACCUCCUUAUACGA
RNAcentral lists this ribosomal RNA (84 nucleotides) under Pseudoalteromonas peptidolytica. Its description in RNAcentral is "partial 16S ribosomal RNA". It matches the Rfam family "Bacterial small subunit ribosomal RNA", at positions 1455 to 1533 of the family's 1533-position model. Lineage: Bacteria; Pseudomonadati; Pseudomonadota; Gammaproteobacteria; Alteromonadales; Pseudoalteromonadaceae. The record is from RNAcentral. RNAcentral also lists the same sequence under 1 other name.